ACUAUCUAGGGGCUAGUAUAUUUAAAGCACAGAUUGCUUCCUGAUUUGUUUUUUUUUUUUUUUUUCCCAUCCUGAAUUCCCCUCAGGGCACACUGUCCUGGGCAGCUGCAGUAGCUAAUGGCUUGAUCCUUUUAGACUGGAAUGGCAGAUUGGCCCUUGAGGUUAAGGAAGAAGGAAAUGCUCCUGUGGGUGGAGAGCUACAGGUUAUCUUUGACUACAGAUGGAGAAAGAAUGGAUUCAUCAAACCCGGAUACAAAUAGGAAUUUAUUAUACAAAAAAGAUGGCAUAUUAUCAAAUCAAUGGGGAAAAUUUGGUUUAUUUAGUGAAUAGUGCUGGAUAAACACAUACCCUUGCCUGAAACAAUCCCCUCUUUGCUAGUAGCUUCAUUGUCCUCCCCUCUUCUGCCUAUAAAACUUUUAUUUUCUGAGCUAUUCAAAGCUCCUUUCUAUCUGCUAGAUGAGAUGCUGCUGAUUCAUGAACCAGUGAAUAAAGCCAAUAAGAUCUUUAAAAUUUACUCAGUCAAAUUUUGUUUUUUUAACAAUUGUUUAAAAAACAAUUUUGUCUUUUACUGGGACUUUCUUGGUGGUUCAGUGGCUAAGACUCUGUGCUCCCAGUACAGGGGGCCCAAGUUCGAUCUCUGGUCUG
Molecule: long non-coding RNA, 645 nt
Filed under: Capra hircus (goat)
Lineage: Eukaryota; Metazoa; Chordata; Mammalia; Artiodactyla; Bovidae
Description: lncRNA (ENSCHIG00000008030.1)
Source: RNAcentral